Long non-coding RNA from Folsomia candida, 1789 nucleotides. RefSeq lists it as uncharacterized. The transcript has 6 exons. The record is from RefSeq and is a predicted model, not a curated record. Lineage: Eukaryota; Metazoa; Arthropoda; Collembola; Entomobryomorpha; Isotomidae.
CUUUAAAUUGAUUCGAUGCCUUGUUCGUUGAGGAAUUCGUCGUUCGCCAACUCCUUGCGGUGAAAAAUAUUCCGAAGCAAUAUUCAGUUGUGAGCUUGGACCAAUUAGUCGACAAUAGUCAUCGUUGUCAACCAGAACAAACUGUUGGUAAAAUUGUUCAGAUCGUAUGGACGAGAGGAAAGAUAUAUCCAGGACUAGUGCUGAAAAUAGGUGAUGAAGAGGGUAACCUGUCAGAAGAAGCAGAUGGCUUAGCAGAAGCAGCUGCAAAAAAUCCAACCAAUCGGAAGACGGCGACUGGUGGGAAGAAGAAAGGUAAAAAACGUAUAAAUGAAGAAACCGCCGUAAAAAUUGACCAAGUGCUAGCUGGAAUUGAAGAAAGAGAAAGAAUCGGAAACCAAAUCGAAGGCGAGCCCCCAAUGGAAAUUGAGGAGAAUGAAAACACCAAUGGUAUAGUCAACGAGAAUGCUAGUACGGAUAACAAGCUGGUGGAUGAUUAUAAAGUUUAAGAGGCUCAAAGUCAAAUACAGAGACCUGAAGCAACGAAUUCCAGAAACUAAUGAGGUGGAACUGUAUCCUGAAAGUGGCGUUACCCUCGCUUCAUCAGAUUUGGCUUCAAUUAAAAUGGCGUCGCCGAAGCCAACGAUACUGGCGAGAAAUUUAUUCCGUCGACUUUUUUCAGCAGCCGAGCUAUCAGGCCACUCGCUUCAGGGGAAAAAAUGCAAUGCAAAUCAGGACAAAGCAACGCUGCCAGCAAUUGACUCUGUCAGACGGGACGCAGUAAUAAGUAUGUUUGGGAAUUAAUUAAUUACAUAUGAAAACGAUUUAACUUAAAAAAAAUUGUAAUUAUUUUGGUGCUUUUCCAGACUUCAUCUUAAAAGAAGAGGGAUUCGACGGACCUCCAGCAACAGGAAAUCUUGCUGCGGAUAAAAUAUUUUUGAAGUCGAAAAAUACCACCAGGAAGGAAAUUGUGAAAUCUCUCUCCGAAUUUCUUCGUGAGGAAAACAAAAAGCUGGUAAAUCUUAACUAAUGAGGACAAAAAUUGUUUACAAAAAUUUUCUGAAGCCUAAAAUAAAGAAAAUUUUUAUGUCAAAUUUUUUAUGCCAAAUUUUUUCGCCAUGAAAAGCAGCCAAAUUACGACAUAUUCCUUUUAUGCAUAAAAUAUUGGACAUAAACACUGGCCAUAAUUAAUUAUGCAUAAUUACUUGGGUCAAAAUACUUUCUGCAUAAUAUAUUUGCCAUAAAAACCAGCCAAUUUACGACACGCGUUACUAACAUAAAAUGCCACAAUUUUUAUGCAUAAAAUGAGGUAAAAUUUUUAUACGGGUACACAGAAUUAAGGAAAUUUUAAGCCAUCAAACUCGAAAAUCGUUAGAACCCGAGAAAAAAAAACGCUAUUUCAUUAUAUAUACCGAUCUUAUCUAUCUUAAAAAUACAAAUUUCGUGUGAAUGGUUCCGUUACAAAAUAAAACGUCCUUGUUUGAAGGUUUCAUAAAUUUAAAAAAUAUUUACAAACAUUUUUCGAAAAAUACAUAUUUCUUUUUAUUUUCAAAGAAAUUCGAUCAUAAAAAAUCCAGAGGGUUAUAUUCAAAAAACAAAUUUUGUUGUAUAGUUUUUUUAAAUUCCGUUACAAAAUAAAGCGUCCUUCUUUGAACUGUAAGGUUUCAUAAAUUUCCCAAAAAAUAAAUAAUAAUUACGAAAAAUUUGUUUCUUAAAGCGCCGUAUAAAAUAUAGAAUUGCCCGGAAUGCUGACUAAAUCUUGGUCAAAAUCGGGCAAAAUGAAGGAAAAUGU